RNAcentral lists this ribosomal RNA (774 nucleotides) under uncultured Neocallimastigales. RNAcentral's name for it is "partial large subunit ribosomal RNA". It matches the Rfam family "Eukaryotic large subunit ribosomal RNA", at positions 24 to 644 of the family's 3401-position model. The record is from RNAcentral. Lineage: Eukaryota; Fungi; Neocallimastigomycota; Neocallimastigomycetes; Neocallimastigales.
UAUCUCUGUAGAGUCUGCAUAUCAAUAAGCGGAGGAAAAGAAACUAACAAGGAUUCCCUUAGUAACGGCGAGUGAAGCGGGAAGAGCUCAAAUUUGAAAUCUUCAAGGUUCUACCUUGACGAAUUGUAGUUUAAAGAAGUGUUUUCUGUUAGAUGAGUAGCAAAAGUUCCUUGGAAUGGGACAUCAUAGAGGGUGAGAAUCCCGUAUUUGGUUAUUCAUUCUAGCUUUGUGAUACACUUUCAAAGAGUCGGAUUGUUUGGGAAUGCAGUCCAAAAUGGGUGGUAAAUUUCAUCUAAAGCUAAAUAUUGGCGAGAGACCGAUAGCGAACAAGUACCGUGAGGGAAAGAUGAAAAGAACUUUGAAAAGAGAGUUAAACAGUACGUGAAAUUGUCAAAAGGGAAGCGUUUGACACCAGUGUUGUCUUUCCGAAAAUCAAUUACGAAUGGCUUGAUUUUGUGUUGUAUUGACCUUAUCAGCUUUCUUCACUUUUUUCGAGUCUUUCUUAAUGCACUUUUCGGUUAACAAGUCAACAUCAAUUUCUUUUGUUGUAAAAGAGUAUUCGGAAGGUGGCUUUCUUUUCGGAGAAAGUGUUUAUAGCCCUAUACUUCUACAAUCGGAGAGAUUGAGGUCUGCAGCGUAGAUCCUUCGGGGUUAGAUACACUUGUGCUAAGUUGUAGCUUUUCAUAGACAACUUGUUGACUAUGUUUAGUCAUGCGGCUUACUCGCUUGUGCUAUUUUACCUACGCUUAGGAUGUUGACUGAUAUGUAGUCGUA